UUUAUAAUUUUAUAUAUCGUUGUUGUAAAAAUAUUUUUUAAUAAAAUUAAUAUUUAAAAAUUAACAUUAAAAUUUAAAUCAGAUCAAGAUGUAGGUUAUAAUUAAGAAUAUAAUGGGUUACAAUAAAUUUAUUUAAACGAAUAUUAAUUUGUAAUUACUAAUUGAAGGUGGAUUUAAAUGUAAUUUUAUUUAAUUUGAUAAAAUGAUUAAAAAUUAAAAUAUGC
RNAcentral lists this ribosomal RNA (224 nucleotides) under Carelis agnae. Its description in RNAcentral is "partial 12S small subunit ribosomal RNA". The record is from RNAcentral. Lineage: Eukaryota; Metazoa; Arthropoda; Insecta; Lepidoptera; Noctuidae.